This 253-nucleotide ribosomal RNA is filed under the name uncultured bacterium. RNAcentral's name for it is "partial 16S ribosomal RNA". It matches the Rfam family "Bacterial small subunit ribosomal RNA", at positions 524 to 776 of the family's 1533-position model. The record is from RNAcentral.
UACAGAGGUGGCAAGCGUUGUUCGGAAUUACUGGGCGUAAAGGGCGCGUAGGCGGCCUUCUAAGUCAGACGUGAAAUCCCCCGGCUUAACCUGGGAACUGCGUCUGAUACUGGGAGGCUUGAGUAUGGGAGAGGGAUGUAGAAUUCCUGGUGUAGCGGUGAAAUGCGCAGAUAUCAGGAGGAACACCGGUGGCGAAGGCGGGUCUCUGGGCCGAUACUGACGCUGAGGAGCGAAAGCGUGGGGAGCGAACAGG